Molecule: long non-coding RNA, 245 nt
Organism: Sapajus apella (tufted capuchin)
Lineage: Eukaryota; Metazoa; Chordata; Mammalia; Primates; Cebidae
Exons: 3
Source: RefSeq, a predicted model, not a curated record
AUGUGAGGUUUAGAGUCAAAGGAAAUCAUUUUGGAGCUUUAAAAUUUGACUGCCCUGCUGGAUGUUGGACUUGCAUGGGUCCUAUAACCCCUUUGUUCUGGUCAAUUUCUCCCAUUUGGAAUAGUAUUUACCCAAUAACUGUACCCCCAUAAUAUCUAGGAAGUAAGUAACCUGCUUUUGAGUUUACAGGCUCAUAGGUGGAAGGGACUUGCCUUCAGAUGAGACUUUGGACUGUGUACUUUUGG